This 253-nucleotide ribosomal RNA is filed under the name uncultured bacterium. RNAcentral's name for it is "partial 16S ribosomal RNA". It matches the Rfam family "Bacterial small subunit ribosomal RNA", at positions 524 to 776 of the family's 1533-position model. The record is from RNAcentral.
UACGAAGGGGGCUAGCGUUGCUCGGAAUCACUGGGCGUAAAGCGCACGUAGGCGGCUUGCUAAGUCAGGGGUGAAAUCCUGGAGCUCAACUCCAGAACUGCCUUUGAUACUGGUGACCUUGAGUCCGGGAGAGGUGAGUGGAACUGCGAGUGUAGAGGUGAAAUUCGUAGAUAUUCGCAAGAACACCAGUGGCGAAGGCGGCUCACUGGCCCGGUACUGACGCUGAGGUGCGAAAGCGUGGGGAGCAAACAGG